AUGCUGAAGGUGAGUUUUUGGUCCCAGCUGUGCUCGUGUGAUUGUAUUUGGCAGGGUCCCCCAGGUCCCCCCGGCCCUCCCGGCCCCCCUGGACCCCAGGGUGUUAAUGGGAUCCAAGGCCCUCAGGGUAUCCCUGGAAACGACGGGAUACCAGGGAAUCCGGGUUUGCCUGGAAAGCUCGACUAUGUUGGACCGCGGCAGCCACUUCAGGAUUCCACAGACAUAGAUGAGGGAUGUGAAGGGGGCUGCUCCAAGGGGUUGCCAGGGGUACCAGGCAUGGCUGGGGCCAAGGGUGAGAAAGGAGACCAAGGCAAGCCUGGUGCAACCCUUUUGGACAGCUGUGACAGGUGUUUAGAGAGGCUGCAAAAGGAACCAGCCACGCAAGCAGUGGGAGAUCGGUCCUACACAGGAACACCUGGACAUCCGGGGGUGCCCGGAUCACCUGGAAUCAAAGGCGAUCCUGGUGCACCAGGAGAAAGAGGUCCAGCUGGAACUCCAGGAUUCAUGGUGUGUGAGAAAGAGAAACCUCAAGUAGAAAUCAGACGUUGUUUUGUUUGUGGACUUCCUCUCUUCCAUUCAGGGUCAAAGUUCAGCCUCGAACACCCUCGGUAA
This 612-nucleotide long non-coding RNA is filed under the name Nothobranchius furzeri (turquoise killifish). RNAcentral describes it as "lncRNA (ENSNFUG00015006328.1)". The record is from RNAcentral. Lineage: Eukaryota; Metazoa; Chordata; Actinopteri; Cyprinodontiformes; Nothobranchiidae.